CAGGCCUAACACAUGCAAGUCGAGCGGGCGUAGCAAUACGUCAGCGGCAGACGGGUGAGUAACGCGUGGGAACAUACCUUUUGGUUCGGAACAACACAGGGAAACUUGUGCUAAUACCGGAUAAGCCUUACGGGGAAAGAUUUAUCGCCGAAAGAUUGGCCCGCGUCUGAUUAGCUAGUUGGUAAGGUAACGGCUCACCAAGGCGACGAUCAGUAGCUGGUCUGAGAGGAUGAUCAGCCACAUUGGGACUGAGACACGGCCCAAACUCUACGGGAGGCAGCAGUGGGGAAUAUUGGACAAUGGGGGCAACCCUGAUCCAGCCAUGCCGCGUGAGUGGUGAAGGCCCUAGGGUUGUAAAGCUCUUUUGUGCGGGAAGAUAAUGACGGUACCGCAAGAAUAAGCCCCGGCUAAUUCGUGCCAGCAGCCGCGGU
This 431-nucleotide ribosomal RNA is filed under the name uncultured bacterium. RNAcentral describes it as "bacterial SSU rRNA". It matches the Rfam family "Bacterial small subunit ribosomal RNA", at positions 43 to 521 of the family's 1533-position model. The record is from RNAcentral.